AUUGAACGCUGGCGGCAUGCCUUACACAUGCAAGUCGAACGGCAGCGGACCUUCGGGUGCCGGCGAGUGGCGAACGGGUGAGUAAUAUAUCGGAACGUACCUUUCAGUGGGGAGUAACGUAGCGAAAGUUACGCUAAUACCGCAUAUUCUGUGAGCAGGAAAGCAGGGGAUCGCAAGACCUUGCGCUGAUUGAGCGGCCGAUAUCAGAUUAGCUAGUUGGUGAGGUAAAAGCUUACCAAGCCGACGAUCUGUAGCUGGUCUGAGAGGACGACCAGCCACACUGGGACUGAGACACGGCCCAGACUCCUACGGGAGGCAGCAGUGGGGAAUUUUGGACAAUGGGCGCAAGCCUGAUCCAGCCAUGCCGCGUGAGUGAAGAAGGCCU
RNAcentral lists this ribosomal RNA (385 nucleotides) under uncultured bacterium. RNAcentral's name for it is "bacterial SSU rRNA". It matches the Rfam family "Bacterial small subunit ribosomal RNA", at positions 30 to 417 of the family's 1533-position model. The record is from RNAcentral.